Molecule: ribosomal RNA, 721 nt
Filed under: uncultured eukaryote
Lineage: Eukaryota
Description: bacterial SSU rRNA
Rfam family: Eukaryotic small subunit ribosomal RNA
Source: RNAcentral
GGCCACCGUUUGUUGAGUGCAAAUAUGGAUGACUGUUUUUGCCGGCUUCACUGUCGGCUUAUAAGGGUUAUCAAAUAUCACUUUGAUUAAAUUAGAGUGCUCAAAGCAAGUGUGUUACUUGGAUAUAAAUGCAUGGAAUGAUGGAAUAUGUUGUUGUUCUAUUUGUCGGUUUUUGAACGAUGAAAUGAUUGAAAGGAACCGUUGGGGGCAUUCGUAUUGUUGUGAGAGAGGUGAAAUUCUUAGACCACAGCAAGACGAACUACUGCGAAAGCAUUUGCCAAGAAUGUUUUCAUUGAUCAAGAACGAAAGUUAGAGGUUCGAAGGCGAUCAGAUACCGCCCUAGUUCUAACCAUAAACUAUGCCAACUAGCAAUCUGCUUAUAUAUGUUCUAUGAUUAAGUAGGCGGCCACGGGAGACCAAAGUAGGGUUAUGGGGGAAGUAUGGUUGCAAAGCUGAAACUUAAAGGAAUUGACGGAAGGGCACCACCAGGAGUGGAGCCUGCGGCUUAAUUUGACUCAACACGGGGAAACUCACCAGGUCCAGACACAGUAAGGAUUGACAGAUUGAGAGCUCUUUCUUGAUUUUGUGGGUGGUGGUGCAUGGCCGUUCUUAGUUGGUGGAGUGAUUUGUCUGCUUAAUUGCGAUAACGAACGAGACCUUAACCUACUAAAUAGUGCUGCUAGCAUUUGCUGGUAUAGUCACUUCUUAGAGGGACUAUCGA